UACGUAGGGUGCAAGCGUUGUCCGGAAUUAUUGGGCGUAAAGAGCUCGUAGGCGGUUUGUCGCGUCUGCUGUGAAAACCCGAGGCUCAACCUCGGGCCUGCAGUGGGUACGGGCAGACUGGAGUGCGGUAGGGGAGAUUGGAAUUCCUGGUGUAGCGGUGGAAUGCGCAGAUAUCAGGAGGAACACCGGUGGCGAAGGCGGGUCUCUGGGCCGAUACUGACACUGAGAAGCGAAAGCGUGGGGAGCGAACAGG
This 253-nucleotide ribosomal RNA is filed under the name uncultured bacterium. Its description in RNAcentral is "partial 16S ribosomal RNA". It matches the Rfam family "Bacterial small subunit ribosomal RNA", at positions 524 to 776 of the family's 1533-position model. The record is from RNAcentral.